Molecule: ribosomal RNA, 252 nt
Filed under: uncultured bacterium
Lineage: Bacteria
Description: partial 16S ribosomal RNA
Rfam family: Bacterial small subunit ribosomal RNA
Source: RNAcentral
AACGUAGGGGACAAGCGUUAUCCGGAUUUACUGGGCGUAAGCGCCCGUAGGCGGCCUGACAAGGUGGGCGUGAAAGCUCCUGGCUUAACUGGGAGAGGCCGUUCAAAACUGUCAAGCUAGAGUCUGGAAGAGGAGAGCGGAAUUCCCGGUGUAGUGGUGGAAUGCGUAGAGAUCGGGAGGAACACCAGUGGCGAAAGCGGCUCUCUGGUCCAAAACUGACGCUGAGGGGCGAAAGCGUGGGGAGCGAACGGG